RNAcentral lists this ribosomal RNA (220 nucleotides) under Salmonella sp. 32100201201700098SM. Its description in RNAcentral is "partial 16S ribosomal RNA". It matches the Rfam family "Bacterial small subunit ribosomal RNA", at positions 1314 to 1533 of the family's 1533-position model. The record is from RNAcentral. Lineage: Bacteria; Pseudomonadati; Pseudomonadota; Gammaproteobacteria; Enterobacterales; Enterobacteriaceae.
GCCUGCAUGAAGCCGGAAUCGCUAGUAAUCGCGGAUCAGCAUGCCGCGGUGAAUACGUUCCCGGGCCUUGUACACACCGCCCGUCACACCACGAGAGUUUGUAACACCCGAAGUCGGUGGGGUAACCUUUUGGAGCCAGCCGCCUAAGGUGGGACAGAUGAUUGGGGUGAAGUCGUAACAAGGUAGCCGUAUCGGAAGGUGCGGCUGGAUCACCUCCUUU